UGACUGAGGACUUGUUCUCGAUACUGCCGCAAAACAGAGGUGAUUGAGGCUUGCAGAGGGAGCUUUCAGUUACAGAUCAUUUAGUAAACAAUUUUUUACCAUUCGUCUGAGUCCUUUAGUCUGAUUUCUCGGAAACCGGCCAUCACAGAACCGCGUACAUACCAUUUUAAUCAGGAUCAAAUUAACGCAUACAAGCGGUCAAAGUAGCUUCCCUUUGGGUCACGAUAAGUAAAUAGGCCCAAGCAAGGCCCGGUACCACAGCUGGCGAACCCUUCAAAUGCGGCUUUGGAGAGGCUUUGGAUACCAUUAUGCCUCCUAAACGCGAUUUUAGGUCGAAAAAGUUUCAAUGUAGUUACUUUUAAAGGAGGAAAAGCUACAGGAAAGUCGAAGUUUGGUGUUCCAGUUCGAUAUGCCGCCCAGCAAUCAAUUGAUACAACGCCUGUGGCCACCGGAUCUUCUCUAAACAUAUGCAGAGGUUUUUCUCCAGACCAAGAAGACCUUCCCCAUAUUUACGAAUCUCAUGGUUUGAAAAACAACAAAAGAUCUCAAGGUAUAAAAGUACGACUGAAGUGCAAGUUAAAAGCUUACCAUGCGAGGAAAGCCGCGCUGGCUUCGUCUUGGCUCAAUGCGAGAGAGCCGCUCAUCUCAGCACUGUUGACCAGACAGGCUUUGCCUUUGGGGCAGAUGUGUGUCAUUCCUUUUUGCAAAGAAGAGGCGUGCGGCAGAUGCCUUAACUGCAGUCCAGGGCAAUUCCUAUGCGAAAACCAUAUCAAUUCAGUUAAUGCAGGAGGUAGAUCUCUGCACCACCGGGAAGUUUGGAAGGAUGGAACUGAUUCAUGAAUGCCAUAUCGAUUUGGUGAGUGUGUAUGGACUACACCUCACAACAUGGAUCAUGGAUAUGUGCAUGACUUUAUAGCUGUUGGUUUUUGCAUGGGCAGCAGCAUCCAUUAAAAUCAAAUGUUGUGAGUAUGAACCAGAAGCCAUAACACUGAUCAGGAACAGUUUCUGGCUAUCUUCUCCAAAACAACCCCAGGUAGCCUUUGACCUUGGAUUUAUGGCCCUGUUCCAAUACAUUUUCUUAGAAUGUAGAGUGUCUUUAUUAAAGUCAAUAUGUCAGGCAUUGCAAUGGCUGGUUCCUCCUGCUUCCAAGGUUUA
This is a long non-coding RNA of Pocillopora damicornis (cauliflower coral), 1155 nucleotides long. RefSeq lists it as uncharacterized. NCBI's taxonomy places the organism in Eukaryota, Metazoa, Cnidaria, Anthozoa, Scleractinia, Pocilloporidae. The record is from RefSeq and is a predicted model, not a curated record.